AUACUUACCUGGCAAGGGAGACACCGUGAUCACGAAGGCGGUUCACCCAGGGCGAGGCUCAGCCAUUGCACUCCGGCUGUGCUGACCCCUGCGAUUUUCUCAAAUGUGGAAAUCUCGAUUGCAUAAUUUCUGGUAGUGGGGGACUGCGUUCGCGCUCUCCCCUG
This 164-nucleotide small nuclear RNA is filed under the name Oncorhynchus mykiss (rainbow trout). RNAcentral describes it as "U1 spliceosomal RNA (ENSOMYG00000067485.1)". It matches the Rfam family "U1 spliceosomal RNA". Rfam says of the family: U1 is a small nuclear RNA (snRNA) component of the spliceosome (involved in pre-mRNA splicing). Its 5' end forms complementary base pairs with the 5' splice junction, thus defining the 5' donor site of an intron. There are significant differences in sequence and secondary structure between metazoan and yeast U1 snRNAs, the latter being much longer (568 nucleotides as compared to 164 nucleotides in human). The record is from RNAcentral. Lineage: Eukaryota; Metazoa; Chordata; Actinopteri; Salmoniformes; Salmonidae.